Molecule: ribosomal RNA, 267 nt
Filed under: uncultured bacterium
Lineage: Bacteria
Description: partial 16S ribosomal RNA
Rfam family: Bacterial small subunit ribosomal RNA
Source: RNAcentral
GUCCACGCCCUAAACGAUGAUGACUAGUUGUUGGAGGAGUUAAAUCCUUUAGUAACGCAGCUAACGCGAGAAGUCAUCCGCCUGGGGAGUACGGUCGCAAGAUUAAAACUCAAAGGAAUUGACGGGGGCCCCGCACAAGCGGUGGAUGAUGUGGUUUAAUUCGACGCAACGCGAAAAACCUUACCUACCCUUGACAUGUCAGGAAGCCUGCAGAAAUGCAGGUGUGCCCGAAAGGGAACCUGAACACAGGUGCUGCAUGGCUGUCGU